Molecule: long non-coding RNA, 205 nt
Filed under: Mytilus galloprovincialis (Mediterranean mussel)
Lineage: Eukaryota; Metazoa; Mollusca; Bivalvia; Mytilida; Mytilidae
Source: RNAcentral
CUUUUAAGGGCAUACAAUACAGUUACAGGUGAGGGUAAUGACGUUGCUAACGUAAAAUGUUAUUUUCGCGACGUCAAACUAUGACAUAUCGGGAAAAGAUGCAUUUUUCGACUCAUUUUUAUCAUUCAAACUGAUUUAAUUUGAAAACGAGUGCAUGGAUCCCUAUUUUUUAAAACGGCAAUUUGUUUCAUUUUGCAAGGAGAUU